CAGGGGCGGACGGGGCGGGUUCCGGGACAGGGGCGGUGACCGCGGCGGCCGCGGAGGGUUCUCGGACCGCGGCGGUUCCGAGGGCGGGUUCCGGCCCCGCGGGCGCGGCGGGUUCCGCGGCGGCCGAGGUGGCUUUGACCGCGACGACCGCGGCCGCGGCCGGGGCGGGUUCGGCCGUGGCGGCUCGGACAGAGGCGGACGGGGCGGCGGCAGGGGACGAGGAGCCUCCCCAGGAGGCGUGCAUCCGUCCUGGGCGGCCAAGAAGAGUCAGAGCCCCGCCAUCGGCAAGUUUGAGGGCAAGAAGGUCAAGUUCGAUUAGAGCUCUAGUCGUUACGAGGUGGAGGCGGUCGGUUCUGUGGCGGUAGAUCGGUUUUUCGAUGGGCUCGUACUGGCGAACGGAGCUGCUGCCAGAGUACAAUGUGGGGACGUUGAAUGUGUUUGCAGCAAAUAGUUUCAUAUACGUUUGACAGUGCUUUCCAUCCGCGCAGCCACAGUAGUGCACGACAGUGAUGUGUUUUGCCGUGGCUUCUCUGUCGUAGGCUGGUUGGUAUUGUGUGGAGACCUGUGCAGUUGUUUGCAUCUGUGACAUUGUAUGGAGAGCCGUGUGGUUUUCAGCUGUGACAUUGGGCAUAUUGUUACCUCACACCAUCGGUGGACUCUAUGUACAAGGUUUUCAUGUUGCCACAGUUGUUAUACAUGCAAUGGAUCGUUGUAAUAAACUUGUUUGAUCGAUA
This is a long non-coding RNA of Amphibalanus amphitrite, 734 nucleotides long. RefSeq lists it as uncharacterized. The record is from RefSeq and is a predicted model, not a curated record. NCBI's taxonomy places the organism in Eukaryota, Metazoa, Arthropoda, Thecostraca, Balanomorpha, Balanidae. The transcript is spliced from 2 exons.